This 255-nucleotide ribosomal RNA is filed under the name uncultured bacterium. RNAcentral's name for it is "partial 16S ribosomal RNA". It matches the Rfam family "Bacterial small subunit ribosomal RNA", at positions 524 to 776 of the family's 1533-position model. The record is from RNAcentral.
UACGUAGGGCGCAAGCGUUGUCCGGAAUUAUUGGGCGUAAAGAGCUCGUAGGCGGCCUGUUACGUCUGCUGUGAAAUCCCGGGGCUUAACCCCGGGCGUGCAGUGGAUACGGGCAGGCUGGAGGCAGGCAGGGGAGAACGGAAUUCCCGGUGUAGCGGUGAAAUGCGCGAGAUAGUCGGGAGGAACACCGGUGGCGAAGGCGGUUUUCUGGGCCUGUACUGACGCUGAGGAGCGAAAGCGUGGGGAGCGAACAGG